RNAcentral lists this ribosomal RNA (593 nucleotides) under uncultured bacterium. RNAcentral's name for it is "bacterial SSU rRNA". It matches the Rfam family "Bacterial small subunit ribosomal RNA", at positions 912 to 1509 of the family's 1533-position model. The record is from RNAcentral.
GACGGGGGCCCGCACAAGCAGUGGAUUAUGUGGUUUAAUUCGAAGCAACGCGAAGAACCUUACCAGGGCUUGACAUCCUCUGACUGCUCUAGAGAUAGAGUUUCCCUUCGGGGCAGAGAGACAGGUGGUGCAUGGUUGUCGUCAGCUCGUGUCGUGAGAUGUUUGGUUAAGUCCAAUAACGAGCGCAACCCCUAUGGUCAGUUGCCAUCAUUUAGUUGGGCACUCUGGCAAGACUGCCGCGGACAACGCGGAGGAAGGAGGGGACGACGUCAAAUCAUCAUGCCCCUUAUGUCCUGGGCUACACACGUAAUACAAUGGCAACGACAGAGGGCAGCAAACCCGCGAGGGCAAGCAAAUCCCCAAACGUUGUCUCAGUUCGGACUGCAGGCUGCAACCCGCCUGCACGAAGUCGGAAUUGCUAGUAAUGGCAGGUCAGCAUACUGCCGUGAAUACGUUCCCGGGCCUUGUACACACCGCCCGUCACACCAUGAGAGUCUGCAAUACCCGAAGUCAGUAGCCUAACCGCAAGGAGGGCGCUGCCGAAGGUAGGGCCGAUAAUUGGGGUGAAGUCGUAACAAGGUAGCCGUUCGGAA